RNAcentral lists this ribosomal RNA (451 nucleotides) under uncultured organism. RNAcentral's name for it is "partial 16S ribosomal RNA". It matches the Rfam family "Bacterial small subunit ribosomal RNA", at positions 330 to 797 of the family's 1533-position model. The record is from RNAcentral.
ACGUCACUCCUGCGGGAGGCAGCAGUGGGGAAUAUUGGACAAUGGGCGCAAGCCUGAUCCAGCCAUGCCGCGUGAGUGAUGAAGGCCCUAGGGUUGUAAAGCUCUUUCACCGGUGAAGAUAAUGACGGUAACCGGAGAAGAAGCCCCGGCUAACUUCGUGCCAGCAGCCGCGGUAAUACGAAGGGGGCUAGCGUUGUUCGGAUUUACUGGGCGUAAAGCGCACGUAGGCGGACUAUUAAGUCAGGGGUGAAAUCCCGGGGCUCAACCCCGGAACUGCCUUUGAUACUGGUAGUCUUGAGUUCGAGAGAGGUGAGUGGAAUUCCGAGUGUAGAGGUGAAAUUCGUAGAUAUUCGGAGGAACACCAGUGGCGAAGGCGGCUCACUGGCUCGAUACUGACGCUGAGGUGCGAAAGCGUGGGGAGCAAACAGGAUUAGAAACCCUGGUAGUCCCA